GUACAUAGUUGCAAUUUUUUCUUUUUCUUUUUUGUUUGUUUUGUUUAAACAGAAGGGUAUUUUAGUCAUUUUACGAUAAAAAUUGGUAAAAAAAAGACGUCUAACGCAAAGAAAUGUGAAAAUAGAGAUAAAAAUAUCAAAAAAUAGAAAGUAUGAACGUUUUACACAAUAAUUUCGAAAGAUAAUGACGUUUUUUGCCAAUUACCUUUUUUAAAAUAUUCUUCCAAGCUCUAAAUUAUAAACAAUAUGUCUCCAUUGGUCUAAAAUAUCAGCGUUGACUCGCUAUUCGAAAUGUUAGAACUGAACUCUCACCCAACCUCGUUCCUCCCUAUAUAUUUAGGUCUCUAUUACAAUUAGGCUUCCAUUGCAAAAAUCCCGACGGAUGAAGGAGGCAAAACAGAGAGAUGGAAAUUUCUAAGGGUGGUUAUCCCUCUCUAUUUGCCUGUGAUUUCACUAUCCACAAAAUCUAACUGCCCUUUUAUACUCGGGUUUCUGAGCGUAUAUAUUCGGGGAAAAUUUCACCAAUGGUCACUGAAGUUUUAGCAAAACAUAAGCCUGCUUGGGAGUUUAUGAGUACCGGUUAUGGGGUUUUAAGCAGCUCUUUGUUUGAUAAAGCUUUUUGAGAUUGCUGCUGCUGCUCAUACUAUGUGUAGGCUGUGAGGAUUCUUUUCGUUGAGUUGGGUCGGGCAAGGAAAAUUCGGAGCCGUAUCUUGGCGGGGCAAGCCUUGAUGGCGUUGUGAGGAGGGAAAUUGACUGUUCUCUCUCUCUCUCUCUCUCUCUCUCUCAUAUGCAACAAGGCUUUUGCAGCCAUGGCGGUGUUGGAAUCUCCUUGCCUGUUGUUUUUGCAGAUCUGAGCCUCACGCAGGUUUAUUUAUUUCAAAACUUGCUUUUUUACUUAGCAGUGAAGUUUAUUCUUAGAUGGACAUGCUAUAGCUCAUUCUUGCAAAAUCAUAACUGAAGAAUGAGGCGAAUGAAGAGAUGUGAUUUUUGCAAAUGGUGGUUACCCAUCUCUAUUUGCCAAUGAUUUCACCAUCUACAAUAACCAACAACCCUUUUAUGCCACCAGGACCAGUAUCUUGGAUCCAUUUUAAUCCACGACUACUUAUUAUCUUGUUAUAAUUUCAGUAACUUGUAAUUAAACCCAAGCAAGCUUUACCUAUGUGGGAUUUUACCCUUAACAAAUCCUGUUCGUAGAAUGUCUAAACUUUUGGUGAGGUUUCAUCCAUGGAAAUUUCAAGUAUUAAAAGGUAUAGUUUUGUUGUUGCUGAGGUUGCUGUUGCUAUCUGUAGGCUGUGAUGAUUAUUUUGUUCGAGUCAGGUCAGGCAUAAGGAAAUCUGAUCCGUAUCUUGGCAGAAACCCGGAUGGCGUGUGGAGAACGGAUAUGAACUUUGUACUUUCCCUCUUUCCGAUAUGCAAAUUGGGUUUUGUAGCCAUGGCGGUGUCUUUCUCCCUGUGCCUGUAGUAUUUCCAGAUCUGAGUCUCACUUAUUUUUAUUUUAAAGCUUACUCAUUACUUAUAAACAUUUUAACUUAGCCAAGCAUCGUUGGAAAAAUCCCCACUCAAGAAUGAGCUCCUUAUAUGCAAAUGAUUUCACCUUCCACAAAAACCACCAGCCUUUUUAUGCCACCAGUCUCUUGGAUCCUGACCAGUGUGUGUAUAUGCUGUGUAAAGCAUUGUUGGAUUACCUUUGGCAGGAAGGAUUAGAUUGGAUAGUGUUGAAAAAGGGGGGGAAAAAGCAUCAUUUCUCUUCUUUAUACUCUUGUUUCACACUCCAUAUCAACUAUAAACAAACAUGCACUCAGGCACUGAACUUUUUUGAGGUUGCUGAUGCUACUAUAGGAUUGGAUUGCUUUGCUAGAAGGGAGAUUGAAGGUGUUUUGUCUCUCGUAUAUGCAACUUGUCCUGAGCCUACCCCUGCUUAUUUACUUAUAAGCAAUCUUUUUAAGUUCAACUUGUCAUGGUUCCCAAUUAGGUGUAUGGGCACCUGAAUCCCACAUCGAAAGUGUAAGCUUCCCUUGUGUGGUUUAUAUUGGCUUGGAUUCUUCAACCUCAUUGGUUAACUUUUGGGUCUGGCUCUCCCAAUUGAGCGUGACAUUUACUUAUAAGCAAUCUUUUUAAGUUUAGCCAAACAUAGUAGUCUUCAUUGCAAAAACCCCAACUCAAGAAUUAAUGAGACUAACUGAGAGAUGGGGAUGUUUUCUAAGGCCGGCUACCCCUUUCCACAUGCCAAUGAUAUGACCAUCUACAAAAGUGAUCAGUCCUUUUAUUCCACUUGAUCUUGUUGUUGAAACUGGCUCAACUUAAACUUUUCAUGAAAGCUGUUAAGAGAGAGAGAAACACAUGUAUUAAAUUAAAUUUAGGCUUCAACAUUUCUUCAUCUUUGGAGUGGAUUUGAUUUUUUAUGAUAACAUGAUGAGAUUGAAUUCAAGAUCUCUAAACCAACUCAUCCAAAAGUUUAUGGCAAAUUGAAAUUAGAUCGAUGCCACAUGUACAUGGAAAAUGUACAGACGGAUUUACAUAAUGUCGCAUGACAACAUUUUAUUGGAUUUUGAACAAAAAACGUAGUUAAAAUAGCCCAUCAUGUGUUGCUAUUUCAGCACCUGUAAAAUUGCCUAAGCAUUUCUUCUAUACAAGUAUCGUUUCUGUGAAAUUAUCCGAUACGUGAAUGUUCUUGUAAGCAGCAGCAGUAGAUCACUUCUAUGUAUUCACAUUUCAUCUAUGGGAUUUUCAUUAGCCUCUGUUCCUUUUCCAUCGUAUGAUUUUGUAUGUUUUUGCUGCUGUGUAGGCUCUGUUGAUUUUGCAAAUCUUAGCCUGUUAUUUUAUGUUUCUUCUUGCAUAGCUGUGAUUGUGAUUGUUCACACUGUUGUUGCAUUGUGUUCAGAUGGGCGAAUGCUAUGUUGUGCAGGUAAGUCGUGUUGCAUUAUGUGAUGUUUGUCUGUAGUUCCGGCGUGUGUAAUUUUCAUUGCGUCUUUUAAAUCUUCAAAUUGGUUUGAUUUUGAAGUGGUAUAUUUAUAGAUGGUAUCAAUCACUUCUCUCGAGGUCAAUUUUAAUUUUGUCUACAACAUUACUUAGCCCCCGUUUGUUUUCCAUUAUUUUCUCAUUAAAAUGAAAAAUAUGAUCGUUAUCCAUCACAUCAAGUUAUUAUAUUUGAUUUUAUAUCUCUUGUGUGGGACUCAUAACAGUUAUAUUUUUUAUUUUCAUUUAUACAUUAAUGUGUAAUGAACAGAGCCUUAGAAACUCAAUUAAUUUUGUCUACAACAUUUUAGUCAUUUUAUCGAAGAUUAUUGAGUGCUAUCAUGUGGUUUUUAUCAGGUUGAGAAGCAGAUUUCACCUUAUAACAAUCACUGAUUCUACCAUGGAAAUCAAUGGACAUUGAUCUUGUCUUGAAUGUGGCUAAAAUACGGUGGGUCAAUGACAGGAUAAGGUUUCAACGAGUUAUAAUGUAAAUGAUUUGGAUGGACAGUCCAAGUGAGGAAGAAAAUUGGAAAGGUGGGAUAGGAAUGAAAGAAAGGGCUAAACGCAGUCUUUUGUGUUUGUGUGAAGAGAAAAACCAUAUGUAUUGAAUGGGGGGUUAUCGAAGCUUGCUCCCCCCCCCCCCCCCCCCUCACAAACACGCGGGACCUGUGUGUAUUUAAUAAUGUCGAGCCGUGGUCCCACAUCAUCAACUUUGAUGAUGUGAGUGGGGUGUAAACGAUUGUGUAAAUGAUUAUGUACAUAUAGCACGGUCUUUGUGUGAAUAUAUGACUAUUUUGGUAACAAAUAUGGUGACCAUCCACUUCCUUAAUUUGCUAAAAGGGUCCAAAACUUUGAAUUGGUGACAGAAAAUUGUCACUAGAACCUAUAAUUUAAUUUUCGUUCAAUGAAGUACAAUGGCUUUCAUCGAUUAGGAACACGUGCACUAGUAAGACUAGAUAAAGAAAUGGGAGUUUAUGACUUGAAUGAAUCGAUAACAAUGGAUUAGUGGAAUGAGGGAUUAAGAGAUGGAUAGGGGGAUGACUAUUUAUCAUUGUGUGAGGAUUAAAUGUAUUUUUAACAUGUUUUUAAUUUAUUUAUCGUAUUUUAAUUUUUCUUAGUUUUAUCAACAUUUUCUCAAUUGUGCAUCUCAUCCUUGAAGAAGAUUUUUAUCGAAAAUAUAUUUGUGUAUUCAUGAAUGAAGGAAUGAUAUUUUGUAACAAGUAUUUUAUGCC
This 4187-nucleotide long non-coding RNA is filed under the name Olea europaea subsp. europaea. The record is from RNAcentral. Lineage: Eukaryota; Viridiplantae; Streptophyta; Magnoliopsida; Lamiales; Oleaceae.